GGGGUUGUGGCUCAGUGGUAGAGCCCUUGGCUAGCACAUGUAAGGUUCUGGGUUCAAUCCCCAGCAAUCAUA
Molecule: transfer RNA, 72 nt
Filed under: Ictidomys tridecemlineatus (thirteen-lined ground squirrel)
Lineage: Eukaryota; Metazoa; Chordata; Mammalia; Rodentia; Sciuridae
Description: Spermophilus tridecemlineatus (thirteen-lined ground squirrel) tRNA
Rfam family: tRNA
About the family: Transfer RNA (tRNA) molecules are approximately 80 nucleotides in length. Their secondary structure includes four short double-helical elements and three loops (D, anti-codon, and T loops). Further hydrogen bonds mediate the characteristic L-shaped molecular structure. tRNAs have two regions of fundamental functional importance: the anti-codon, which is responsible for specific mRNA codon recognition, and the 3' end, to which the tRNAs corresponding amino acid is attached (by aminoacyl-tRNA synthetases). tRNAs cope with the degeneracy of the genetic code in two manners: having more than one tRNA (with a specific anti-codon) for a particular amino acid; and 'wobble' base-pairing, i.e. permitting non-standard base-pairing at the 3rd anti-codon position.
Source: Rfam by way of RNAcentral